GGCACUUAAUAACAUAUCCAUUGUCUACGGGGAAAUUAUUACAACUAUACAAACCCCUUUAAAAUAGCUCACAACAAAGGCAUAACUUUGCCAUUGGGAGGGGAACAACAAUGCGAAAUGAUUGCUAAUACCCUAUAGACUGAGGAGCAAAAUGAGGAACCUUCUUGAGGAAGGGCUCGCAUCUGAUUAAUUAGUUGGUGAGGAAAUAGCAAAACAAGGCUAUGAUCAAUAGGUGGUUGAGAAGAUGAUUAGCCACACUGGGACUGAGACAUGACCCAAACUCCUUCGGAAAGCAGUAGUGGGGAAUUUCCAACAAUGGGAAAAAGCCUAACAGAGUAAUGUCACGUGGAGGUAAAAGGCCCAUGGGUCAUGAAAAUUUCCUAAAGAAGAAGCAAUGACGGUAUGUAGGGAAUAAGCAUUGACCAACUCUGUGCUAACAAUUGUGAUAAUAAAGAGGAUGCAAGUGUU
Gossypium hirsutum (cotton) is the source of this 468-nucleotide non-coding RNA. The record is from Rfam. NCBI's taxonomy places the organism in Eukaryota, Viridiplantae, Streptophyta, Magnoliopsida, Malvales, Malvaceae.